GUUGAGCUGUCCCCACAGCUUCUCUACAGACUCCAAAAGGCCCUUUUCAGGGCCCCCAAACUGUCACAGAAAGAGCUGUUAACACUUCCUAGAUAACGGACCAAGUCUAGCUCUGCCACCGAGGCUGGAGUGCAGUGGCACGAUCUCGCCUCCGCCUCCCGGGUUCAAGCGAUUCACCUGCCUCAGCUUCCGGAGUAGCUGGGAUUACAGGCCUGCGCCACCACGCCUGGCUAAUUUUUGUAUUUUUUUUUUUUUUGGUAGAUACGGGGUUUCACCAUGUUGGCCAGGCUGGUCUUGAACUCCUGGCCUCAAGUGAUUCACCCGCCUCCGCCUCCCAAAGUGCUGGCAUUUCAGGCGUGAGCCACCACGCUUGGUCUUGCUCUAGCUAUUCUAAACAUGAAGAAGUCAUAUAGCUUCCUUGGUGCGGUGGGCUGAAGUCACUCUAAGGGAGUUUCCCAGCCCCAGGGGUUAAAGAACUGGAGUCAAGAUUGGAACCCAGCUGGCGAAGGAUUCCGCACCGCUAGAUCUUGACAUUUGCCUCUUCUUCUGCCAGGAAGGCUCCCCUGUUCCUUUUUGCUGACGUGUCAUUUCUAAGUACUUUCUCCUACUCCAUAAAGACUUCAAUCCAGUCUCCGUGAUCCUUUGAUGUCUUCUGACAGAGCAAGUGAUGGCUCUCUAGUGAGUGACUUUGAUAAAAGCCUGUCUAGUCAAACCCCAGAAGAAACUGAACAUUGGUGGAUGAUGGAUUUGGGUUCCAAAUGGACUAUGAAUGUUGUGUCAGUCACCAACUGAAGAGAAUGUAUUCAUGGACAAAUAAAGACACUUGCGAUUUUAAUUGGGUACUCACUUGCUCAGAGUGGCAAGACAAAUUCCAGGAAACAUAUAACUCAGUCUAUCACCUUCAAUCAAUCCAGAUCACUUGAGAAAGCCAUUGUAUUAG
Molecule: long non-coding RNA, 940 nt
Filed under: Homo sapiens (human)
Lineage: Eukaryota; Metazoa; Chordata; Mammalia; Primates; Hominidae
Description: HSALNT0185998
Rfam family: Histone 3' UTR stem-loop (bases 34-79)
Source: RNAcentral